AGAGUUUGAUCCUGGCUCAGGAUUAACGCUAGCUACAGGCUUAACACAUGCAAGUCGAGGGGCAGCAUGGUCUUAGCUUGCUAAGGUUGAUGGCGACCGGCGCACGGGUGAGUAACACGUAUCCAACCUGCCGUCUACUCUUGGACAGCCUUCUGAAAGGAAGAUUAAUACAAGAUGGCAUCAUGAGUUCACAUGUUCACAUGAUUAAAGGUAUUCCGGUAGACGAUGGGGAUGCG
This 236-nucleotide ribosomal RNA is filed under the name uncultured bacterium. Its description in RNAcentral is "partial 16S ribosomal RNA". It matches the Rfam family "Bacterial small subunit ribosomal RNA", at positions 8 to 235 of the family's 1533-position model. The record is from RNAcentral.